This 429-nucleotide ribosomal RNA is filed under the name uncultured bacterium. RNAcentral describes it as "bacterial SSU rRNA". It matches the Rfam family "Bacterial small subunit ribosomal RNA", at positions 355 to 776 of the family's 1533-position model. The record is from RNAcentral.
UGGGGAAUUUUGGACAAUGGGGGCAACCCUGAUCCAGCAAUGCCGCGUGAGUGAAGAAGGCCUUCGGGUUGUAAAGCUCUUUUGUCAGGGAAGAAACGGGUGCGGCUAAUAUCUGCAUCUAAUGACGGUACCUGAAGAAUAAGCACCGGCUAACUACGUGCCAGCAGCCGCGGUAAUACGUAGGGUGCAAGCGUUAAUCGGAAUUACUGGGCGUAAAGCGUGCGCAGGCGGUUUUGUAAGUCUGUUGUGAAAUCCCCGGGCUUAACCUGGGAAUGGCAAUGGAGACUGCAAGGCUAGAGUUUGGCAGAGGGGGGUAGAAUUCCACGUGUAGCAGUGAAAUGCGUAGAGAUGUGGAGGAACACCGAUGGCGAAGGCAGCCCCCUGGGUCAAGACUGACGCUCAUGCACGAAAGCGUGGGGAGCAAACAGG